CGGCGUUUAUCCCUAACCCUCUGAAAAGAGACACACACAUAGAGGUUGGAGCAGGGGGCUGCCAUACUACAGCACCUGUGGAGCAGUUUUUGUGGGGGGGGGGUUUAUGUGCCUUGCUCAAGGGCAGGUAUGGAGCAUCUAGGAUUUAACACCAGGAUCCACUUCCUGUCUCCCAGGGUGAUGAGAGUAUGGUUUACUGAUGUUGCCACUUACUUCUGUCUCCCAGGGUGAUGAGAGAAUGGUUUACUGAUGUUGCCACUUACUUCCUGUCUCCCAGGGUGAUGAGAGAAUGGUUUACUGAUGUUGCCACUUACUUCUGUCUCCCAGGGGGAUGAGAGAAUGGUCUUACUGAUGUUACCACUUACUUCCUGUCUCCCAGGGUGAUGAGAGAAUGGUCUUACUGAUGGUACCACUUACUUCCUGUCUCCCAGGGUGAUGAGAGAAUGGUCUUACUGAUGGUACCACUUACUUCCUGUCUCCCAGGGUGAUGAGAGAAUGGUUUACUGAUGUUGCCACUUCUGUCUCCCAGGGGGAUGAGAGAAUGGUCUUACUGAUGUUACCACUUACUUCCUGUCUCCCGGGGUGAUGAAAGAAUGGUUUACUGAUGUUACCACUUCCUGUCACCCAGGUUGAUGAGAGAAUGGUUUACUGAUGUUACCACUUACUUCCUGUCUCCCAGGGUGAUGCGAGAAUGGUUUACUGAUGUUACCACUUACUUCCUGUCUCCCAGGGUGAUGAGAGAAUGGUUUACUGAUGUUACCACUUACUUCCUGUCUCCCAGGGUGAUGAGAGAAUGGUUUACUGAUGUUACCACUUACUUCCUGUCUCCCAGGGUGAUGAGAGAAUGGUUUACUGAUGUUGCCACUUACUUCCUGUCUCCCGGGGUGAUGAAAGAAUGGUUUACUGAUGUUACCACUUCCUGUCACCCAGGUUGAUGAGAGAAUGGUUUACUGAUGUUACCACUUCCUGUCACCCAGGUUGAUGAGAGAAUGGUUUACUGAUGUUACCACUUCCUGUCUCCCAGGGUGAUGAGAGAAUGGUUUACUGAUGUUACCACUUACUUCCUGUCUCCCAGGGUGAUGAGAGAAUGGUUUACUGAUGUUACCACUUACUUCCUGUCACCCAGGUUGAUGAGAGAAUGGUUUACUGAUGUUACCACUUACUUCCUGUCUCCCAGGGUGAUGAGAGAAUGGUUUACUGAUGUUACCACUUCCUGUCUCCCAGGGUGAUGAGAGAAUGGUUUACUGAUGUUACCACUUACUUCCUGUCUCCCAGGGUGAUGAGAGAAUGGUUUACUGAUGUUACCACUUACUUCCUGUCUCCCAGGGUAAUGAGAGAAUGGUUUACUGAUGUUACCACUUACUUCCUGUCUCCCAGGGUUAUGAGAGAAUGGUCUUUCUGAUGUUAAUGAUUUAUUCAAAUCUCUUUCCAUCUGUCAGAGUAUUCCUCAUUCCUUUUUACCUAAUGCUGCUCACUCAGGAUAUUGUUUGAACAUUUUGGGAGUAAUGAUAUAGUUGACUCCUGAUGAGCGCAUUUUGUACAAGUGUAAACUCUGUUUUAAGUGAACUGCAGUGUUCUUCCAGCCCCAAUUCAACAACAUUCUAUAUAACUGCAUUCUCUGGUUUUAGUGCACGCUGUCCCAUCAAUCCCAAGCAGCUGUCAGGAGUCACCUGAGUUACAAUUUCUUGUCCUUCUAUUCAGUUAGAAUCUAUAUCCAUUAUCACUGGUCUGUUCCUUGUAGUAAAACUCCAGGUUAUUGAUACUGAUUUAUACGAAUAUUGAUUUCAAGUGUACUUUUCAGAAAACAUCUUAAUUUGUCCACUAGUUUUCUAAAGUUUUCUAAGUCGCUAAAUGACGUCAUCACCUAAUUUGCAUAAUUGGCCACGUGCAUGUAAUUGUGAUGGAUGCUGUAGGAGAGAGGAACGACGUCGUGGGAGAGAUAAAAAGUGAGUAAAAAAACACCCUAAAUAUAUAAUAUAAUACUCCUCCUUCAGCACUUUAUGGACCCCAUUGUUAAUCCCUGUCAUAACAGAAGCAUUGUCAGUCCUUAUCCCCAGGAGUUUCUCUUUUUGAAGACAACACUUCCUGAGGAAAGCCACAACAGCACAGGGCUUUAGAUUUGACAUCUUCUCCAACUUGGGGCGGCAGGGUAGCCUAGUGGUUAGAGCGUUGGACUAGUAACCGGAAGGUUGCAAGUUCAAACCCCCCAGCUGACAAGGUACAAAAAUCUGUCGUUCUGCCCCUGAACAGGCAGUUAACCCACUGUUCCUAGGCCGUCAUUGAAAAUAAGAAUUUGUUCUUAACUGACUUGCCUGGUUCAAUAAAGGUAAGAUAAAAAAAAUAAAAACAACAAGCCCCAUAAAAUUGUCUGCUUGGUGUCACUAAAGUACCUUAUCACAACCCCCAGGUACUUAGAAACACUUACGUCCGUGGACUCAUCGAGGAGGAGGCGGAAACACUGGUCACCCACAUCUGUGGACUCAUCGAGGAGGAGGCGGAAACACUGGUCACCCACAUCUGCGACCAACUUUUUCAGAAAGUAGGGUGCUAGAACACCAUUAAUCAUCUCUGUGCACUUUGACCUGUGCAUUUUGAAGUGGAUAGCAGCAGUGGAGUCUGAGAAAGCAGCUCUACAUGCUUCUCCAAUGUGAUCACAUGCCAGCAUGGAACAGUGUUCAGCGAUAGCUAAUACCAUGGUGGCCUCAGCCUUAUUCGCAGAGUCAAUUUUUUUUAACCAUAAAUGGCAGCUUGUUUUUGGUGGUACUGUUAUAAGGCUUUGCCUUUUCAGUAUGUUUUUGAGUUGUCAUGUUUUUUUACAUCACUAAGUUUGGCGUAGAAAUCAGCCUUACAAUACAGCCAGUAUGUCCAUGUAUCAUCUCCAAUAUACGGCUUCAACCAGCCUUUGAAUUCAGGGUUUGAUUCCCACUCCUUUCUGUAUUUUUGAGUGUACAGUUUAGACUGAGACAUGAUGAACUAGCCAGCUAGAUGUUUAGCUUAUGUCACAGAGAGGCGCACACACACACACACACACAGUGGGCAAGGUGAGUAAGUGACUGAGGCUGUGUGAGUCAAAUGCAGUGAUUUAUUUUAGACAUUUAUGUUUACAUCAGCCAGCGACGGCUUCCCACAUGCGCGAUUCAUUUGCUGUGUCUGGACAGGGAGGGGUGAACAUCUCCUGCUCUGACUGCAGCUGGGAGGGACUGGACCGCCUGUGAGUGCUUUGGGAUGGGGGUGGGGCCCACGGCAGCGUUGAGAAGAGUAAGAACAAUAUGUGCUUUCACGUCAGAGUCUCAAAAAGUCUCCAAUAACACCAGAAAAGGUUGCUAGAUUUGUCGCUAGUCUAUUUUUUGGGGGGGAAAAUGUGUCUCUAGAGGGAUUUGAAUACUUGCUAAAUAUAACGACAAAGUCGCUAAGUUGGCAACACUGCUUCUUUCCCUUAGCAAGGCAGUUAACCCACUGUUCCCGGGCGCCGAAGACAUGGAUGUCGAUUAAGGCCCCCCACACCUCUCUGAUUCAGAGGUUUGGUUAAAUAUGGAAGGCAUUCAGUUGUACAUCUGACUAGGUAUCCCCCUUUCCCUAUUAUGGUAUCACAAUACCAGAUUAAAAGUGCAAUAUGCCAAAACCACUCUGCCAUUUCUGGUUGCUAAAAUUCUAAUAGUUCGCCUAUUUUCAGUUGUGACAAAACAAGCAGUCAUUGUGUAGGGAAUCAUUGCACCAUUUAAAUCGCUGUGAAAUAUAUUUUCCAUAAACCCAAAAUAUUGUAUUUUAGACUAUUUGAAGUCAAAAGUAAAAGACACAGAAACUAACAUUUAUGACGAA
This is a long non-coding RNA of Oncorhynchus tshawytscha (Chinook salmon), 3819 nucleotides long. NCBI's taxonomy places the organism in Eukaryota, Metazoa, Chordata, Actinopteri, Salmoniformes, Salmonidae. The record is from Ensembl.